Molecule: RNA transcript, 1180 nt
Organism: Lacerta agilis (Sand lizard)
Lineage: Eukaryota; Metazoa; Chordata; Lepidosauria; Squamata; Lacertidae
Gene: GGACT
Gene name: gamma-glutamylamine cyclotransferase
Exons: 5
Source: RefSeq, a predicted model, not a curated record
UCAGGUUCUAAAGGGCAACGGCGCACUCCGGAAGCGGCCGGAGCAAGUUUGUGUGAUUGGCAAGUGCAUUAGGACCGGUCUCUAAACACGGCUGUUCAAACUGGCGGUUGCUUUCGUCAGAAGAAUGGUUCAUGUCUUUGUCUAUGGGACACUUAAGAAAGGCCAGCCAAACUACUCGUACAUGAUAAAUGGUGCUAAUGGGACAGCCAGAUUCCAGGGCAGGGGGCUCACAGUGGAGAAAUACCCCCUAGUGAUUGCCGGGAAAUACAACAUUCCUUAUUUGCUGAAUAUCCCAGGAACGGGAUACCGUGUCACUGGAGAGAUUUAUGCUGUCAAUGACCAGAUGUUGCAAUUCCUUGAUGAGUUUGAAAGUUGUCCAGACAUGUAUCAGCGUACCCCAGUGAGAAUUGAAGUAGUUGAGCAGGAAGAUGAAAGUAGUCCACCUGAAGGGACACCAGCUGUUAACAGCAUCCUGGAAUGCUAUGUGUAUAGCACCACCACUUACCAGCCAGAGUGGAUACAUCUCCCUUACUAUGACAACUAUGAUUCCUUUGGGAAACAUGGGCUUCCAUAUGUACUAAGGGAAAGCAGAGAUUGAAACUGGAAGCUCCAUAAAUGACCACAGACUAUUGAAUAGGAUCAACAACCUCUUUUCAUUUAUAGCUCAGAAUUUUGAAAUAUGCCAACAGGGAAGAAGGCCGAUUCUCAAGAAAACUGCAAGAAAGCAGUUUUUAAGGUUCAGAAUCAAAUUUCAUGUCUUUUCAAAACAGUCAAGCUUGUGACCCUAUGAAUAGUUCAAGUUUUCCAAAUUAAUCUACAAUCAAGAGGAGGCUCUACAGGAUCACAAAGGCCUGAAUGAACAGGUAUGUCUUGACCUGAUGAAGAAAGGCUGACUGAUGCAACUCCAAAGAGGGAGUUCCACAAACAAGAUGACACCACAGAGAAGACCCUAACUUGAGUCACUGCAGGAGGGGCCACACCCAUUUGCAGAACCAUGAGAAGGACCUCCCAUACAGAUCACAAAGACCUGGGCUUUUCCUUAUGGAGAGCAUGCUCCAACUUCUAGAUCGUAUUUCUAGUCUUUCCUGCACUUUUCUAGCUCUAUUUUGAGUUAGGAUGACCAUACUGAGCAUUCCAACUAUGACCCUGCCACAGAUUUAUACAAUUUAUACAAACUUUA